UACGUAGGGAGCGAGCGUUGUCCGGAUUCAUUGGGCGUAAAGAGCUCGUAGGCGGCUUGGUAAGUCGGAUGUGAAACCUCCAGGCUCAACCUGGAGUCGCCAUCCGAUACUGCCAUGGCUAGAGUCCGGUAGGGGCCCACGGAAUUCCUGGUGUAGCGGUGAAAUGCGCAGAUAUCAGGAGGAACACCGAUGGCGAAGGCAGUGGGCUGGGCCGGCGCUGACGCUGAGGAGCGAAAGCGUGGGGAGCGAACAGG
This 254-nucleotide ribosomal RNA is filed under the name uncultured bacterium. RNAcentral's name for it is "partial 16S ribosomal RNA". It matches the Rfam family "Bacterial small subunit ribosomal RNA", at positions 524 to 776 of the family's 1533-position model. The record is from RNAcentral.